UCAUCAGAAUCCUGGAGCAUUUUUUAAAAUGACGGUGGAUCCCAGAAAUUAAUAAAGCCGUGAUUAAGUAAAUAAGAGCAUCUGCGGUGGGGUUCACGACCUCUUUGAAGUGCAGAAUAUCCUGUAAUAAACUGUGUCUCUCUAUCCCCCUUCCCCCCAUUACUGGACCGGGAAGGGAGCAGGGAUACCCAUGGAGCACCUCCCUAGCCCUACCUCCAACACCACCCCCAGGAGAGCCAACUGGGCCAAAAUCAAUUGCAUCCUAAAAUCAGAGUGGGAAGGUAGUAAUUAUUAUUUUGAGGGGUGUAUCAAAAUCCAUCUUCAUAAAAGUCCUGGUUGGUGUAUGAGAGUGAUGACGCACAUUCGUGUAUUUCAUUGGCCUCUGAGAUUGCAGCAGCAAUUAGGGGGCGCUAAGGAUCCCACAAAUGCUUUUUAUGUACAUAGUUAGAAACUUUGAACUAGGUAACAGGGUUGCUUUCUUCCUAACCCUUUUGUGGAAAAAGUGGGAGGGAAACAAGUUUGUUAACCAGCAUUUGGAUAAAUGAGUGUUUGCAGUGAUUUAA
Long non-coding RNA from Hyaena hyaena (striped hyena), 563 nucleotides. RefSeq lists it as uncharacterized. The transcript is spliced from 2 exons. NCBI's taxonomy places the organism in Eukaryota, Metazoa, Chordata, Mammalia, Carnivora, Hyaenidae. The record is from RefSeq and is a predicted model, not a curated record.